RNAcentral lists this ribosomal RNA (1248 nucleotides) under uncultured bacterium. Its description in RNAcentral is "bacterial SSU rRNA". It matches the Rfam family "Bacterial small subunit ribosomal RNA", at positions 157 to 1401 of the family's 1533-position model. The record is from RNAcentral.
GGAAGAUUAAUACAAGAUGGCAUCAUGGAGUCCGCAUGUUCACAUGUUUAAAGGUAUUCCGGUAGACGAUGGGGAUGCGUUCCAUUAGAUAGUAGGCGGGGGUGACGGCCCACCUAGUCUUCGAUGGAUAGGGGUUCUGAGAGGAAGGUCCCCCACAUUGGAACUGAGACACGGUCCAAACUCCUACGGGAGGCAGCAGUGAGGAAUAUUGGUCAAUGGGCGAGAGCCUGAACCAGCCAAGUAGCGUGAAGGAUGACUGCCCUAUGGGUUGUAAACUUCUUUUAUAAAGGAAUAAAGUCGGGUAUGCAUACCCGUUUGCAUGUACUUUAUGAAUAAGGAUCGGCUAACUCCGUGCCAGCAGCCGCGGUAAUACGGAGGAUUCGAGCGUUAUCCGGAUUUAUUGGGUUUAAAGGGAGCGUAGAUGGAUGUUUAAGUCAGUUGUGAAAGUUUGCGGCUCAACCGUAAAAUUGCAGUUGAUACUGGAUAUCUUGAGUGCAGUUGAGGCAGGCGGAAUUCGUGGUGUAGCGGUGAAAUGCUUAGAUAUCACGAAGAACUCCGAUUGCGAAGGCAGCCUGCUAAGCUGCAACUGACGUUGAGGCUCGAAAGUGUGGGUAUCAAACAGGAUUAGAUACCCUGGUAGUCCACACGGUAAACGAUGAAUACUCGGUGUUUGGGAUAUAAGGCGAGGGGCCAAGCGAAUAGAGUUGAAGUAUUCCACGUGGGGGAGUACGCCGGCAAACGGUGAAAUUCAAAGGAAUUGACGGGGGCCCGCACAGGCGGAGGAACAUGUGGUUUAAUUAGAUGAUACGCGAGGAACCUUACCCGGGCUUAAAUUGCAGAAGAAUUACGGUGAAAAGCCGUAAGCCGCAAGGCAUCUGUGAAGGUGCUGCAUGGUUGUCGUCAGCUCGUGCCGUGAGGUAGUCGGCUUAAGUGCCAUAACGAGCGCAACCCUUGUUGUCAGUUACUAACAGGUUUCGCUGAGGACUCUGACAAGACUGCCAUCGUAAGAUGUGAGGAAGGUGGGGAUGACGUCAAAUCAGCACGGCCCUUACGUCCGGGGCUACACACGUGUUACAAUGGGGGGUACAGAGGGCCGCUACCACGCGAGUGGAUGCCAAUCCCAAAAACCUCUCUCAGUUCGGACUGGAGUCUGCAACCCGACUCCACGAAGCUGGAUUCGCUAGUAAUCGCGCAUCAGCCACGGCGCGGUGAAUACGUUCCCGGGCCUUGCACUCACCGCCCGUCAAG